Molecule: long non-coding RNA, 1705 nt
Organism: Apteryx owenii (little spotted kiwi)
Lineage: Eukaryota; Metazoa; Chordata; Aves; Apterygiformes; Apterygidae
Source: Ensembl
GGCAGCGCGGGGCUCCCCGGGGCCUCUGCCCUCCGCGGCUGCGGGUCUGGCCGGGGCGGCGGAGAAGCCGCCGGGUCGCUUUGCAACUCGCCUGCCGCUUCGUGACUAUCACACCCCGAUCGAAUGGUGCUGCACCAUUAACAGUCCGUGGUGUGGUCGAAGAGGAAGGCUGCUUUUCCUGUGCUCCUCAUGCCCUCGGAAAAAAUGGUAGAUGGACUAAAAAGCAGGGGAUGAAGAACUUGAGAAAAGGAACUCGGGGGUACGUGUACUCUGCAAACUAGAUGAUUACCAGGAGCAGUCUUGGCGUGAGAAGCCUGGAACUCUCCCAAGGCGCAGAGUAAAUAGCUAGAUUUCUUUAGCUAACCUAGCUUGACCUUUUGCUAUAUUACUCAAAAGCAAGGCUGGACAGCACAGGAAGUAGGGCAGUGAAAGAAGAAGAAAAAGGAGAGAAAAGGAAAGAUUUAAUCGGAACCAAAUGAUCUGUAAUCAUUUAAGCGUUCAGAACCUGGAACAGAAUCCAGGAAUUACCAGUCUCAAUUUGAUUUUUUUUUUUUAAGUGUAAAUAUCUUGCAACGUAUAUAUUUUAUUUUCGGCUAGUGACUGGACCUCAUAGUGGUUGACAACAUUGUACUACUCAGUAACCUUGUUAUAGAUGUUUUUGCUGAAGCUUUAAAUUAACUGGUGAUUCAUGUCGGGAUAAAUAUGAUUCCGUAUGAUGGAAUUUCUGAGUAGUUAAUGAUUUGCUUUUUUAGAAACUUAGAACAUUACCUGAAAGUAUUCUGAAAGAUCAUUAUAUUUUGUAAGUCAAAAGUCAGGUUGAUAUUGCAAUCUUAAUUUAUCCUUAAGUCUAUAUGCAUUUAUCUAUGUAAUUACAGCAACAUUAUGUUUUAUGGUAAGAUCUCUUCACCAUUCAGUGCAUGGGAAACGUCACACUUCGGAAUUAAUCAAAGCUAUGUAGUGAAUUAAGCUAUUGUGUGGAGGACCUAUUUUUCUUAAGUAUGGCAUAUAUUCAGUGGAAUGGUAUAUAUUCAGUGACAAAAAGAAUUUUAAGAAGGAUUUUUAGUCUGCCUGCCAUUUUUUCCAAGGGCAUGAAGAGCACAGGAAAAGCAGUCUUCCUACAUUUAAAGAUAUGACAAUAUAUUUUUAUGACAAAAGCAUUAUUGUUUAGCUUAGCAGUUAGCAUCACUAUUAAUACCGCAAUGGGUACAUUGAAAUAGUAUGAUAAAUAAUGUAAAUGUGGAUCAUCUCAGAAUUAAAGUAGUUGAAUUCUGCCCUUCAUUGGCAGAUUGGAUCCAGAUUGGAUGUUGUCCAGAGACAUAGUUGAGAGUUUGCCCGGUUCUAAUUUAGGCACUAUAGAGAUUAACUAGUUCUCAUCUAUUCUGAACAAGUAAACUUAUCUGGGGCUUUUUAUUUACCUAGGAGGAUUUUUUAAAUAUUUAUUUACCUACUGUUUUAUUUAUCAGUACAUCAGCAAGGCUAUUCCAUUCUCUACCCUAGAAGUCUGUGUGCUGCUGGACAGUUCACUUCUUGUAGUAGCUUCUAAUUGUAUAGUCCUCAUUUUCUGAAUGUACAUCUUGAAAUUGUGUGGUCUGAUUUACAGAAGAGCUAAAUUCUGGAAUUUAAGUCACUGGGAGCUAGGCCCAGAAAAGUUUAAAAUGUUAAAUGCUCUAACAAAUAAAGCCACUACAUCUUAGUUUGCUCCCCA